RNAcentral lists this small RNA (223 nucleotides) under Arabidopsis thaliana (thale cress). RNAcentral's name for it is "ATSL148360". The stretch from base 31 to 152 matches the Rfam family "MIR405 microRNA precursor family". The record is from RNAcentral. Lineage: Eukaryota; Viridiplantae; Streptophyta; Magnoliopsida; Brassicales; Brassicaceae.
AAUUAUUAAUUAAAUUAUUACUUAAAUGGGUUAACCCAUUUAACAACUCAACCCAUCAAAUUAAAUGAGUUAUGGGUUGAUCCAACCUAUUUAACAAAAUGAGUUGGGUCAACCCAUAACUCAUUUAACCGUAAACUCAUUUGAUUAUGAGUUGAGUUGAGUUGGGUUACCAAUUUUGACACCGCUAGUUAUACGAUAGAAGAUAACUAAAGACACUUUAAUA